GAUGAACGCUGGCGGCGUGCCUAAUACAUGCAAGUCGAGCGAACGGACGAGAAGCUUGCUUCUCUGAUGUUAGCGGCGGACGGGUGAGUAACACGUGGAUAACCUACCUAUAAGACUGGGAUAACUUCGGGAAACCGGAGCUAAUACCGGAUAAUAUUUUGAACCGCAUGGUUCAAAAGUGAAAGACGGUCUUGCUGUCACUUAUAGAUGGAUCCGCGCUGCAUUAGCUAGUUGGUAAGGUAACGGCUUACCAAGGCAACGAUGCAUAGCCGACCUGAGAGGGUGAUCGGCCACACUGGAACUGAGACACGGUCCAGACUCCUACGGGAGGCAGCAGUAGGGAAUCUUCCGCAAUGGGCGAAAGCCUGACGGAGCAACGCCGCGUGAGUGAUGAAGGUCUUCGGAUCGUAAAACUCUGUUAUUAGGGAAGAACAUAUGUGUAAGUAACCGUGCACAUCUUGACGGUACCUAAUCAGAAAGCCACGGCUAACUACGUGCCAGCAGCCGCGGUAAUACGUANGUGGCNAGCGUUAUCCCGGAUUAUUGGGCGUAAAGCGCGCGUAGGCGGUUUUUUAGUCUGAUGUGAAAGCCCACGGCUCAACCUUGGAGGGUCAUUGGAAACUGGAAAACUUGAGUGCAGAAGAGGAAAGUGGAAUUCCAUGUGUAGCGGUGAAAUGCGCAGAGAUAUGGAGGAACACCAGUGGCGAAGGCGACUUUCUGGUCUGUAACUGACGCUGAUGUGCGAAAGCGUGGGGAUCAAACAGGAUUAGAUACCCUGGUAGUCCACGCCGUAAACGAUGAGUGCUAAGUGUUAGGGGGUUUCCGCCCCUUAGUGCUGCAGCUAACGCAUUAAGCACUCCGCCUGGGGAGUACGACCGCAAGGUUGAAACUCAAAGGAAUUGACGGGGACCCGCACAAGCGGUGGAGCAUGUGGUUUAAUUCGAAGCAACGCGAAGAACCUUACCAAAUCUUGACAUCCUUUGACAACUCUAGAGAUAGAGCCUUCCCCUUCGGGGGACAAAGUGACAGGUGGUGCAUGGUUGUCGUCAGCUCGUGUCGUGAGAUGUUGGGUUAAGUCCCGCAACGAGCGCAACCCUUAAGCUUAGUUGCCAUCAUUAAGUUGGGCACUCUAAGUUGACUGCCGGUGACAAACCGGAGGAAGGUGGGGAUGACGUCAAAUCAUCAUGCCCCUUAUGAUUUGGGCUACACACGUGCUACAAUGGACAAUACAAAGGGCAGCGAAACCGCGAGGUCAAGCAAAUCCCAUAAAGUUGUUCUCAGUUCGGAUUGUAGUCUGCAACUCGACUACAUGAAGCUGGAAUCGCUAGUAAUCGUAGAUCAGCAUGCUACGGUGAAUACGUUCCCGGGUCU
RNAcentral lists this ribosomal RNA (1371 nucleotides) under uncultured bacterium. Its description in RNAcentral is "bacterial SSU rRNA". It matches the Rfam family "Bacterial small subunit ribosomal RNA", at positions 28 to 1381 of the family's 1533-position model. The record is from RNAcentral.